Molecule: long non-coding RNA, 244 nt
Organism: Musca vetustissima
Lineage: Eukaryota; Metazoa; Arthropoda; Insecta; Diptera; Muscidae
Exons: 2
Source: RefSeq, a predicted model, not a curated record
GCCCAGAAUAGUGCCGACAACGAAUUGUCAGUCAGAGUGAAAGAAUUUUUGUGCAUUUUUUUGAAGCGAUCAAAAAAGAAUUAAAAAGGAGUUUAGAUUAGACAACGAAUUUUUUUAUAUAAAAUAGUAUUUUUUUAACUUACAAUCAAUUAAAAAUCAAUUUCAAAUCGAAAACCAAAAUUAAGUGUUUUUUAAUUGUGUUGUGUGAACGUCAUUGUGUCUUAAAUAAAAAAACAAAAAAGAA